GAACCGCAUGGUUCGAAAUUGAAAGGCGGCUUCGGCUGUCACUUAUGGAUGGACCCGCGUCGCAUUAGCUAGUUGGUGAGGUAACGGCUCACCAAGGCAACGAUGCGUAGCCGACCUGAGAGGGUGAUCGGCCACACUGGGACUGAGACACGGCCCAGACUCCUACGGGAGGCAGCAGUAGGGAAUCUUCCGCAAUGGACGAAAGUCUGACGCAGCAACGCCGCGUGAGUGAUGAAGGCUUUCGGGUCGUAAAACUCUGUUGUUAGGGAAGAACAAGUGCUAGUUGAAUAAGCUGGCACCUUGACGGUACCUAUCCAGAAAGCCACGGCUAACUACGUGCCAGCAGCCGCGGUAAUACGUAGGUGGAAAGCGUUAUCCGGAAUUAUUGGGCGUAAAGCGCGCGCAGGUGGUUUCUUAAGUCUGAUGUGAAAGCCCACGGCUCAACCGUGGAGGGUCAUUGGAAACUGUGAGACUUGAGGGCAGAAGAGGAAAGUGGAAUUCCAUGUGUAGCGGUGAAAUGCGUAGAGAUAUGGAGGACACCAGUGGCGAAGGCGACUUUCUGGUCUGUAACUGACACUGGGGCGCGAAAGCGUGGGGAGCAAACAGGAUAAGAUACCCUGGUAGUCCACGCCGUAAACGAUGAGUGCUAAGUGUUAGAGGAUUUCCGCCCUUUAGUGCUGAAGUUAACGCAUUAAGCACUCCGCCUGGGGAGUACAGCCGCAAGGCUGAAACUCA
This 735-nucleotide ribosomal RNA is filed under the name Bacillus sp. WMB6B. RNAcentral describes it as "SSU rRNA". It matches the Rfam family "Bacterial small subunit ribosomal RNA", at positions 183 to 903 of the family's 1533-position model. Lineage: Bacteria; Bacillati; Bacillota; Bacilli; Caryophanales; Bacillaceae. The record is from RNAcentral.